This 460-nucleotide ribosomal RNA is filed under the name uncultured bacterium. RNAcentral describes it as "partial 16S ribosomal RNA". It matches the Rfam family "Bacterial small subunit ribosomal RNA", at positions 338 to 795 of the family's 1533-position model. The record is from RNAcentral.
CCUACGGGAGGCUGCAGUGAGGAAUAUUGGUCAAUGGCCGGAAGGCUGAACCAGCCAAGUCGCGUGAGGGACGACUGCCCUAUGGGUUGUAAACCUCUUUUAUAAGGGAAGAAUAAAUGCUACGUGUGGCCGAAGUGAGAGUACCCGAAGAAAAAGCAUCGGCUAACUCCGUGCCAGCAGCCGCGGUAAUACGGAGGAUGCGAGCGUUAUCCGGAUUUAUUGGGUUUAAAGGGUGCGUAGGCGGAACAUUAAGUCAGCGGUAAAAUCGAGGGGCUCAACCCCUUUAAGCCGUUGAAACUGGUGAUCUUGAGUGGGCGAGAAGUAUGCGGAAUGCGUGGUGUAGCGGUGAAAUGCAUAGAUAUCACGCAGAACUCCGAUUGCGAAGGCAGCAUACCGGCGCCCGACUGACGCUGAGGCACGAAAGCGUGGGGAUCGAACAGGAUUAGAUACCCCUGUAGUC